CGGUGAGGUAGAGGCGCGAACAUUAUCAGUAAUCAAUUGGAGUAUGACAUCAGAGAUGAUUGAUGAAAGGGAUGCUCGCCGAAGUGUAAUAAGGGUCAAGCUUAUUAUUGCUGGGAUGUCUUUUAACAAGAGGCAUACUGUCAUGCACGUCUGCAUGGAGGACUACUGAUCGA
Regulatory RNA element from Oceanobacillus picturae, 173 nucleotides. It matches the Rfam family "Lysine riboswitch aptamer". Rfam says of the family: Riboswitches are metabolite binding domains within certain messenger RNAs that serve as precision sensors for their corresponding targets. Allosteric rearrangement of mRNA structure is mediated by ligand binding, and this results in modulation of gene expression. The record is from Rfam. NCBI's taxonomy places the organism in Bacteria, Bacillati, Bacillota, Bacilli, Caryophanales, Bacillaceae.